Molecule: ribosomal RNA, 773 nt
Filed under: uncultured Streptococcus sp.
Lineage: Bacteria; Bacillati; Bacillota; Bacilli; Lactobacillales; Streptococcaceae
Description: bacterial SSU rRNA
Rfam family: Bacterial small subunit ribosomal RNA
Source: RNAcentral
GACGAACGCUGGCGGCGUGCCUAAUACAUGCAAGUAGAACGCACAGGAUGCACCGUAGUUUACUACACCGUAUCCUGUGAGUUGCGAACGGGUGAGUAACGCGUAGGUAACCUGCCUGGUAGCGGGGGAUAACUAUUGGAAACGAUAGCUAAUACCGCAUAAGAACAUUUACUGCAUGGUAGAUGUUUAAAAGGUGCAAGAGCAUCACUACCAGAUGGACCUGCGUUGUAUUAGCUAGUUGGUGAGGUAACGGCUCACCAAGGCAACGAUACAUAGCCGACCUGAGAGGGUGAUCGGCCACACUGGGACUGAGACACGGCCCAGACUCCUACGGGAGGCAGCAGUAGGGAAUCUUCGGCAAUGGGGGGAACCCUGACCGAGCAACGCCGCGUGAGUGAAGAAGGUUUUCGGAUCGUAAAGCUCUGUUGUUAAGGAAGAACGUGUGUGAGAGUGGAAAGUUCACACAGUGACGGUACUUAACCAGAAAGGGACGGCUAACUACGUGCCAGCAGCCGCGGUAAUACGUAGGUCCCGAGCGUUGUCCGGAUUUAUUGGGCGUAAAGCGAGCGCAGGCGGUUAGAUAAGUCUGAAGUGAAAGGCAGUGGCUCAACCAUUGUAGGCUUUGGAAACUGUUUAACUUGAGUGCAGAAGGGGAGAGUGGAAUUCCAUGUGUAGCGGUGAAAUGCGUAGAUAUAUGGAGGAACACCGGUGGCGAAAGCGGCUCUCUGGUCUGUAACUGACGCUGAGGCUCGAAAGCGUGGGGAGCGAACAGG